GAUGAACGCUGGCGGCGCGCCUAACAUAUGCAAGUCGAACGAUUAAAGCACCUUCGGGUGUGUAUAAAGUGGCGAACGGCUGAGUAACACGUGGGCAACCUGCCCCUUUCAUUGGGAUAGCCACGGGAAACCGUGGAUAAUACCGAAUACUUCGAGACUUCCGCAUGGAAGACUCGAGAAAGCUCCGGCGGAGAGGGAUGGGCCCGCGGCCUGUUAGCUUGUUGGUGGGGUAACGGCCUACCAAGGCAAUGAUGGGUAGCUGGGUUGAGAGACCGACCAGCCAGAUUGGGACUGAGACACGGCCCAGACUCCUACGGGAGGCAGCAGUGGGGAAUCUUGCACAAUGGGCGAAAGCCUGAUGCAGCGACGCCGCGUGCGGGAUGAAGGCCUUCGGGUUGUAAACCGCUUUCAGCAGGGACGAGGCGAAAGUGACGGUACCUGCAGAAGAAGCCCCGGCUAACUACGUG
RNAcentral lists this ribosomal RNA (467 nucleotides) under uncultured bacterium. RNAcentral's name for it is "partial 16S ribosomal RNA". It matches the Rfam family "Bacterial small subunit ribosomal RNA", at positions 28 to 507 of the family's 1533-position model. The record is from RNAcentral.